AACGAGAUUUUUUAAAGCAUAAAUGUUUCUGCCCUAUACUCUUAAUGUGUAAAAUAUUGGUGUCCCCUUCUAGUUAAGAAAUCGAGGUGGGCUGGAGCCGCUGGCAGAGCUCCUGCACUCCAAGAAUGAUGAAGUCAGAAGGCAUGCCAGCCAGGCUGUGAUGGUCUGUGCCAACGAUGAGCUGACAGCCACUGAGCUGUGUAGGCUUGGGGCUUUGGAUAUCCUUGAGGAAAUUAAUCUAUCAGUAAGUCGAAAAAAUAAAUUCAGUGAGGCAGCUUACAACAAAUUGCUCAACAAUAAUCUUCCCCUGAAAUAUAGCCAGAUUGGCUAUUUGUCAUCAAAUAACAUAAUUAGUGAUGGAUUCUAUGAUUAUGGUCGGAUAAAUCCUGGCACCAAACUUCUGCCCCUGAAGGAGCUCUGCUUGCAAGAACCUGGUGAUCAACGUGCUGUUCUCUUAAUCAACAAUAAAUCUGUUGAUGUUUCUCUACCUAUGGAAGAUAAAUCGUCAGACCUCAGUUAUGGACGAAGUAUUUCUUCUUCAUCUUCAUUAAGAAGAGCAAGUAAAGACAAGACCAAUAUUGGAUUUGGAUCGCCCACAGAACUGAAAUCAGAACCUACUUCGGGACGAAAUACUGUUCUUAGCAAAAGUGCCACUAAAGAGAAAGGAUCGAGGUAGGAAAUGUGUGUUGUGUUCUAAUUAUAAAUCAUACCAAGUUUUAAUUACCCAGCAAAGUUGGU
RNAcentral lists this long non-coding RNA (738 nucleotides) under Cavia porcellus (domestic guinea pig). RNAcentral describes it as "lncRNA (ENSCPOG00000038288.1)". Lineage: Eukaryota; Metazoa; Chordata; Mammalia; Rodentia; Caviidae. The record is from RNAcentral.